This 248-nucleotide ribosomal RNA is filed under the name uncultured bacterium. Its description in RNAcentral is "partial 16S ribosomal RNA". It matches the Rfam family "Bacterial small subunit ribosomal RNA", at positions 100 to 334 of the family's 1533-position model. The record is from RNAcentral.
CGGGACGGGUGAGUAACACGUGGGUAACCUGCCCGGAAGUGGGGAAUACCUCGGGGAAACUCGAGCUAAUACCGCAUGACAUCUUUGGGACGAAAGUCCUGACGAUCAAAGCGGGGUCGCAAGAUCUCGCGCUACCGGAUGGGCCCGCGCCCGAUUAGCUAGUUGGUGAGGUAACGGCUCACCAAGGCUUCGAUCGGUAACCGGCCUGAGAGGGCGAUCGGUCACACCGGAACUGAGACACGGUCCGG